Molecule: long non-coding RNA, 1183 nt
Organism: Peromyscus californicus insignis
Lineage: Eukaryota; Metazoa; Chordata; Mammalia; Rodentia; Cricetidae
Exons: 4
Source: RefSeq, a predicted model, not a curated record
CCCAGUAUGGGUGCUGACUCAUGGAGGCUGCAUCACUAUAGUUACACAUCCAGGCAGCCUUCUGUCUCCUGUACACCCUAGCACAUACACCAGACUGCGGGAACCUGUGGGGUGGGUAGGAGGGGGUAGAUAGCCGGAUCUCAGGCGAGAGUCUGAUGACCUCCUCGCCACUCAUCCUUCUAUGAGGAAAUAGUAAUAGUCCUGAUUCUAUGAGGGUGACCACAGUUGCUCUGACUCAAGGUGGUAGAGGGUCAUGUCAUGCCCGGCGGAGUUCUGCUCCAGAUAUUUAUAUUCAAGGCUCGUAGCAGCUUUGUGAUGAAGAACCAACAGUAGGAAACAGCUCUCCAGUGAGUGCGCAGUUAAGCUGUAACCAGGCUAUACCACAGAACACUGCUCAGCCAUAAACCAGAUGGAGCGGCAAUACACGCAACCGGGAUCCAUCAAGGCACUUCCCCUGUCAAAAUCUUUGGCAUCUGCUUCAUGGAGGAGGUAGAAGAAGACAGAAAGUUCCUUGUUGUGGAAUAUCACAGUAACUAGGCAAAGACGUGUUACAUUUGUUUAUGCUGCGGAAUAUUACUUUAACUGUGUAAAGGCUCCCUGCUGUGAUGGUAUACUUCACCUCACCUGGACCCAGAAGCAGUGGAGCCCCCGAGGAACACGGAGAACAUUUCCUUCCCUGGGGAUCAGAAGAACCUGAAGAACCUGAAACCACCCUCAGCUUUCUGGCUCUCUCAGACCUGUGAGGUCAAAGGAAUGGGAUUGGCAGGCAGUGAAUGUACCCAUGAGGUCACAGGAGCAAGGGAUCCCUGUGAAGUGGAAGGUGGCAGUCACUGUGGGACAUGCUUGUGGUGGGGGACUGGGCUUUCCUGUCAGCCUGGAAGGAGAUGUUGAUCUUUCCCGGCUCUCUUCUCAAGAAGCCCAGCUUCUAGCUUAGCCACGGUGGCACACGCCUUUAAUCCCACCACUUGAGAGGCAGAGGCAAGUGGAUCUCUGAGUUCAAGGCCAGCCUGGUCUACAGAGAGAGAUCCAGGACAGCCAGGGCUACACAGAGAAUCUCUCUCUCAAAAAACAAAACAGCCGGGCAGUGGUGGCGCACGCCUUUAAUCCCAGCACUCGGGAGGCAGAGCCAGGUGGAUCUCUGUGAGUUCGAGGCCAGCCUGGUCUACAGAGCGAGAUCCAGGAA